AAAGACGCCUUUUCGUCUAGGUAGUUGAGCGGAAGGAACGUAAACCGAGGAGUUGACGAAAGGCUACGACAAUGAACAACGCAAUCAAGUUGUUGAUCUUGGCUUUUGCUGUCACCAUGCUGAUCACAGCUGGUGACGCUCUGACAUGCACGAGAUGUUUGCCCAUACGUGGAGAGUGUAUUCCACGACCUGAAACAUGUCAACCAGCCCAAGUCUGCA
Syngnathus acus (greater pipefish) is the source of this 219-nucleotide long non-coding RNA. RefSeq lists it as uncharacterized. The transcript has 2 exons. NCBI's taxonomy places the organism in Eukaryota, Metazoa, Chordata, Actinopteri, Syngnathiformes, Syngnathidae. The record is from RefSeq and is a predicted model, not a curated record.